UAAAAUUGUAAUCAAAAGUCGAGAAAAUAGUUAUUGUAGGUGUUGUAGCAUAGAGUAACCGAAUGAAGGUUCAUUAAUCUACAAAAAAGCCAGAUGAGCAAGAGGACCUUGACAAACUCCCACUGCGACUCCGGCUGCGGCUCCUGCUCCUACUCUGGCUUCGCUUGGAAUUGUGUGGUUUGGGGCUUUUGCUCCUGCUGUGGCUACGCCUGGAGUUGCGUGGUUCUGGGCUUUUACUCAGGCUCUUGCUUCUCCUGGAAUUGCGCGGUUCUGGGCUUUUACUCAGGCUCUUGCUUCUCCUGGAAUUGCGCGGUUCUGGGCUUUUACUCAAGCUCUUGCUUCUCCUGGAAUCGCGAGGUUUUGGGCUUUUGCUCGCACGCUUUGGGCGCUGUGACCAAUCCAGUCAAAUAUAAAAUGCCAACAAACAGAGGAUUCCAAGGAAAGAGAGAACGUAAUCAUAGAACUUAAUACAAAUAUAACAAGACAAAUGGUUCUAUAUUUCCGGGUUUCCAUUUAUUUCAGAAG
RNAcentral lists this long non-coding RNA (525 nucleotides) under Capsicum annuum. RNAcentral's name for it is "long non-coding RNA (CANN_LNC010691)". Lineage: Eukaryota; Viridiplantae; Streptophyta; Magnoliopsida; Solanales; Solanaceae. The record is from RNAcentral.